CCUACGGGGGGCUGCAGUGGGGAAUAUUGCACAAUGGGCGCAAGCCUGAUGCAGCCAUGCCGCGUGUGUGAAGAAGGCCUUCGGGUUGUAAAGCACUUUCAGCGGGGAGGAAGGCGUUAAGGUUAAUAACCUUGGCGAUUGACGUUACCCGCAGAAGAAGCACCGGCUAACUCCGUGCCAGCAGCCGCGGUAAUACGGAGGGUGCAAGCGUUAAUCGGAAUUACUGGGCGUAAAGCGCACGCAGGCGGUCUGUCAAGUCGGAUGUGAAAUCCCCGGGCUCAACCUGGGAACUGCAUUCGAAACUGGCAGGCUAGAGUCGUGUAGAGGGGGGUAGAAUUCCAGGUGUAGCGGUGAAAUGCGUAGAGAUCGGGAGGAAUACCGGUGGCGAAGGCGGCCCCCUGGACAAAGACUGACGCUCAGGUGCGAAAGCGUGGGGAGCAAACAGGAUUAGAUACCCUUGUAGUC
RNAcentral lists this ribosomal RNA (465 nucleotides) under uncultured Klebsiella sp. RNAcentral's name for it is "bacterial SSU rRNA". It matches the Rfam family "Bacterial small subunit ribosomal RNA", at positions 338 to 795 of the family's 1533-position model. The record is from RNAcentral. Lineage: Bacteria; Pseudomonadati; Pseudomonadota; Gammaproteobacteria; Enterobacterales; Enterobacteriaceae.